Molecule: non-coding RNA, 72 nt
Organism: Circinella umbellata
Lineage: Eukaryota; Fungi; Mucoromycota; Mucoromycetes; Mucorales; Lichtheimiaceae
Source: the annotation of a GenBank genome assembly
GCCCUUGUGGCUUAGUGGUAUAGCGUCGCUCUCGUAAAGCGAAGAUCGAGAGUUCGAUUCUCUCCGGGGGCA